UUUCCGUAGGUGGACCUGCGGAAGGAUCAUUCAUAAUAAAGUGUUUUAUGGCACUUUUUAAAAAUCCAUAUCCACCUUGUGUGCAAUGUUAGAUCUCGUCAAUCUUGGCGAGAUUUUUAUACAUCAACUCAUUCUUUAACUAAUUUGUCUGAAAAAUACUAUGAAUACUUAAUUCAAAAUACAACUUUCAACAACGGAUCUCUUGGCUCUC
RNAcentral lists this unclassified non-coding RNA (211 nucleotides) under plant metagenome. RNAcentral's name for it is "partial contains small subunit ribosomal RNA, internal transcribed spacer 1, and 5.8S ribosomal RNA". The record is from RNAcentral.